GAGAAAUCAUAUUAAGGGCUCAUGGUGAAUGCCUUGACAUCAAGUAGCGACGAAGGACGUGGCGUGACUGCGAAAAAUUUCGGGGAGCCGUCUAGCAGGCUUUGAUCCGGAAGUGUCCGAACGGGGAAACCCGGUUGAGAAAACCUCAAUCAUCUCUGCCUUUGGUAGAGGAGCAAACCCGGUGAAGUGAAACAUCUCAGUAACCGGAGGAAAAUAAAUCGAAGAGAUUCCCUCAGUAGCGGCGAGCGAACGGGGAUAUAGUCCAAACCCUUCGAUUCGAUACUGUGUAUCUCACUCAGGGUAAACCUUUUGAACAGCCAAGAGGCUUGCCCCGAGCGAAGGUGCGUAGCAUCGAGUCGAGGGGGGUUGUAGGGGCGAUACAUUUCUUUAAUGCGAUGGUUGUAUACAGCACCGCAUUGAAGAUAAAGAGUUACAAAUUCGAUUGUUAGUGGAACCUGACUGGAAAGUCGGAUCAAAGAGGGUGAUAAUCCCGUACACGAAAAUGAUCGAACUCUUGUGUUGUUUCCUGAGUAUCCAUGGAUCAGACUGUCCGUGGUGAAGCUGGGCCUACUACGGUCCAAGACUAAAUAUACUUGGUGAUCGAUAGUGAACUAGUACCGUGAGGGAAAGGUGAAAAGUACCCCGAUGAGGGGAGUGAAAUAGUAUCUGAAACCAUGAGCCUACAAGGAGCGGGAGUCCGCCAUCUUUACGAUGGUGAGAUGACCGUGUGCCUAUUGAAGAAUGAGCCUGCGAGUGUAUUUGCACUGCUAAAUCUAAGCCUUUUAGGCGGAGAUACAGGGAAACCGAGUGUUAAUAGCGCGUUUUCGCUUUCUAAAUUGACAUCUGAUUUUGUCAGAUGUUUCCUAGGAAGUGAUAUGUAGUGCGAGUACGACCCGAAGCCGGAAGAGCUAGCCAUGACCAGGGUGAAGCGUUGCCGAAAGGCGCGUGGAGGCCCGCACCCACUAGUAACGCAAUACUAGGGGAUGAGUUGUGGUUUGGAGUGAAAAGCUUAUCGAUUUCGGUAAUAGCUGGUUCUCCUCGAAAUGCCUUUAGGGGCAGCGUCGUACAGUAAUUGUGGGGGUAGAGCACUGAUUGGUUUUCCUUGCCCUUUUGGGUAGGUCAACCAAACAAACUCCGAAUACCACAGUGGAAUGUGCGGCAGUGAGACCAUGGGGGCAAAGCUUCAUGGUCGCAAGGGAAACAGCCCAGACCAUCACUUAAGGUCCCAAAAUGUAUGCUAAGUGUGAAAGGAGGUGUAGUGCCUUAGACAGACAGGAGGUUGGCUUGGAGGCAGCCAUCCUUUAAAGAGUGCGUAACAGCUCACUGUUCAAACUCACCCUUCGGGGUGUGGAAGGCACUAUGCGCCGAAAAUGUAACGGGGCUAAGCAUACUACCGAAAGUAUGGAUACGGAGAUUUCGUGAAGGGAAAUAAUUUUUGCCGAAGAGCCACCCUAACCCGGGAACUGGGGUGGGGGUCUCCCCGGACCUUUCGCGAAAUCUCCGUGUGGUAGAGGAGCAUUGUAUGGGCACUGAAGGUGCGUCGUGAGGCGUGCUGGAGCGCAUACAAGAGAGAAUGCAGGCAUGAGUAACCGCAAGGUAGGUGAGACCCCUACCCACCGAAAGCCUAAGGUUUCCUCUGCAAUGUUGAUCAUCAGAGGGUUAGGCGGCCCUAAGGAUAACCCUGGCGUCAGUCGGGGGAAGCCAAUGGACAGCUGGUUAAUAUUCCAGCUCUUGUUUAAGUCAAUACCGAUGGGAGGACGGAGGAAAAAAGAUUAAGCGUGUUAUUGGAUUCACGUCCUUCGGUCUCAGAAUCGUUCCGAAAGAAAAUCUGCGGGACUUCCUUUAAUGGAAAAAUUCGGGAUUGAAGGGAAUACUCUUUUGAGUAAAUUUAAUCGAAGAGCCUUCCAAGAAAAGUCUCUAAGGUGAUUUAAACAACCCGUACCGUAAACCGAAACAGGUAGGCAGGUCGAGUAGACCAAGGUGAACGAGUGAUUCCUGGCUAAGGAACUCGGCAAAACAGCGGCCGUAACUUCGGGAUAAGGCCUGCCCGUAUAUCUUCGGAUAUAUGGGCCGCAGCGAAAGACCCCUGGCGACUGUUUAUCAAAAACACAGCUCCCUGCUAACUCGAAAGAGGAUGUAUAGGGGGUGACGCCUGUCCAGUGCCGGAACGUUAACGGUUGAGGUGUCCGCCUUUUGGCGGAUGCCAAGGCCCGAAGCGCCGGUGAACGACGGCGAUAACUAUAAUCGUCCAAAGGUAGCGAAUUUCCUUGUCUGGUAAGUUCAGACGUGCAUGAAUGGCGUAACGACUGGGGGACUGUCUCGGCCAGGAGCUCGGUGAAAAUGCAGUGACGGUAAAGAUGCCGUCUACCCGCACCAAGACGAGAAGACCCCAGAAGCUUUACUGCAGCUUGGUAUUGGGCUAUGAGUUUUACUGCGUAGCAUAGGUGGGAGACUUUGAAGUUUCGCUCUCGGGCGGAAUGGAGUCGUCAGUGAAAUACCACUCUGUAAUAUUUAUAGUUCUAACUGGCCCCGCCCUCCCUGUUCUUAUGGGUGGGGGGAAGAGAAAAAAUGGCCAAAAUCCUCAAGGCCGAAAGGUACAAGGUAUGCGCACGGGUGAGGCCCUUUGGCCGACGCAUUUUUAAAGACCCUUCUCUUCCCUCGCCCGCCAUUUAAGAAUGGAGAGGGCUGGGUCAAGACAGUGCCUGGCGGGCAGUUUCGCUGGGGCUGCGGCCUCCUAAAAAGUAACGGAGGCGUUCAUUAAGGUUGGCUAGCUGCGGAUGGAAAUCGCAGUGAUAGUACAAAGGCAAAAGCCAGCUUAACUGCAAGACGGAUAUGUCGCGCAGAUGCGAAAGCAGGACUUAGUGAACCGACUCUUAUGAAUUUUGAGUGUUUACAUUCGAAAUUUUGUUCGUAGGAACGGAGAAGAUUAACAGAUAAAAGCUACUCUGGGGAUAACAGGCUGGUACCACCCGAGCGUCCAUAGCGACGGUGGUGUUCGGCACCUCGAUGUCGGCUCGCCCUAUCCUGGGGCUGAAGAAGGUCCCAAGGGUUUGGCUGUUCGCCAAUUAAAA
RNAcentral lists this ribosomal RNA (3071 nucleotides) under Candidatus Yanofskybacteria bacterium CG10_big_fil_rev_8_21_14_0_10_46_23. RNAcentral describes it as "bacterial LSU rRNA". It matches the Rfam family "Bacterial large subunit ribosomal RNA", at positions 1 to 2593 of the family's 2925-position model. The record is from RNAcentral. Lineage: Bacteria; Candidatus Yanofskyibacteriota.